This 2457-nucleotide long non-coding RNA is filed under the name Olea europaea subsp. europaea. The record is from RNAcentral. Lineage: Eukaryota; Viridiplantae; Streptophyta; Magnoliopsida; Lamiales; Oleaceae.
GUUGAAUUGAAUUUUAGAGAAUUCUCUCUAUCUUUUGGGCAUUUUUUCUUUGUAUUCCUCCUGUGAUAUAUCUAUUAUAGCUAGCUUGCAGGAUAAUCGUUGUUAAGCCCGACAUCUGUAACCUAAUUGUUAUCGCACCAUUAAUUGUGUUCUCCAAAACUUCAUCUAAUUCAAAAAAAUUCUUAUGAAAAACGAUCAUCAGAAGAAUGUGGAAGAUGAUUUGAAUGUAUUUCUCAUAAUUCGAUAAGAAUCAAUUCCUCUCCUAUUAUACAUUAUAUGUUAUACGAAUUCGAUGACUGCUCCAUUUUCCGAAAUUGGGGAUUUAAGAUUGUUCUCAAGAAAUUCAUAUUGAACACCAUUUUUUUUCCCUAUCUCUUGAGAUUAUUUCUGGCGUCUUCCUCCAAUUAAGGUUUCUUUUAUGAGCUUUUGGGGGCGUUAAAAUGAAUUCACGUUACAAUUACGGCUUAAUUCAAGAUUUUUUUCAACUACUUUCCUUUUCCUUUCACAUCAGUUUUAAGUGAAUAAACGAAGGAUGAGACAAGCAGACGGAGUUGAGCCGGUGGCCUUAGAAACCUAAUUGCAGAAUGCCCGUUCAGUUUUCUGGCCGAUGUGGUGAGGUAUUGUUCUGGUUCCUUUAAGUUGAUUUUGCAGAUUGCGUAGAUUAAAAAACUAUUGUAGUAUUGUAUGUUCUAAUCAGCGCAUAAGAGCAGAUAAAUAAUGUGAUGGAUAAAGACUUAUGAGUAGUGCAGAACAUAGAAACGAAAAUCAUGGUUUUUCUUAUGAUCUGAAGUAUGAUUCCAUUGGGAUAUUAGGAUCAGAGGCUAAUAUAAAUAGAAAAACAUUAGCAGAAAUGAAAUUUGAUUUGUUUGUGGGCUAAAUAUGCUGAUUGAUUGAUGAAAAUGAAUUCUCUGUUAUGCAAGUAUCAAUUAUGCUAGUCUUAACUCGAUUUGAUGAACUCUCUUUCACCUUUUCAAUCUAUCAACAGCUAUUACAAAAUAGGAAUUGAAAAGCCAAAUCCCAUCGAAUCACCCUUGCUUAUAUGCCUAAACAUUCUCGAACGAUUCUCCUACAAAUGUAGAUCAUUGUGUUUAUGUCAACGAAUUAUAUGGUGGUAACUUCAUUUUAUUUUUUUGCUACAUGUAGAUGAUAUGUUGAUAGUGGGACAAGAUGUUAAGCUUAUUCGCAGUUUGAAGGUAGAUUUGUUCAAGUCAUUUGACAUAAAGGAUCUUGGAAUUUGGGGAUGCAUAUUCAUCGUAAUAGAAAAGCUGAAAAGUUAUGAUUACCACAGGAGAAAUAUGUAGAAAGAGUCUUGAUAAGGUUUAACAUGAAGAAUGCAAGACCAGUUGGGACAACACUUGGUAGUCACUUCAAAUUGAGUAAGUGCUUGUCUGGGAACGAUUGUGGUGGGAAAAAAUUUGAUUUUGAUGUCAAGUCACGGCCCCCACCAUGUUUAAUUUAAAUUUGCAUCCUUGCCAGCUUCAUUAAAGUGGAAAACUUCAACAACCCCGAAAAGUCAAAGUCACCACUAUUGCAUCUGGAAAUGAAUGAAAACAAGGGCAAACUUGGUAAUUGAUCAACGAUGAAUUAUGGACUCUGCAAUUGUGUGAAAAGGAGUCUGGUUUUUGUUGGAAUAACGAAUUUAUACUUGACUACCAACGGUUGGAUUUUUCCUAUUAAUUUAAAUUUAAUUGUUCCCAAACAUGGGCUAAGCUUAUUUGUCCUUCUAAGAAGGAAGAUAAAUAAAGAAUGACGUUAAUUCCCUACUCUAUAAUUGGGAGUUUGAUGUAUGCUAUGGUAUGUACACGGCCAGACAUUGCUUAUGCAAUUGUGAUGGUUUGCAGCUUUCUUGUUAAUGAUGGUAAAGAUCAUUGGGAGGAAGUGAAAUAGAUCUCUAGAUAAUUGAGAGGUACCUCAAAGAUGUGCUUGAGUUUUGGAGGUUUAAAACCAGUUUUAAAGGGCUUUAUAGAUGAAAUAUGGCUGGUGAUCUUGAUGGUAAAAAAUCAACUUCAGGAUAUUUGGUUACUUUUAUAGAAAGAGCUAUCUUGUAACACUUAAAACUAUAAAAGUGUGUUUUCUUAUCUACAACUGAUGCUAAGUAUAUUGCAGCAACUGAAACAACAAAAGAAAUGCUUUAGAUGAAAGAGUUUCUUCAAGAUUUAGGUUUGAGCAAGAUGGGUAUAUAGUUAAGUGCGACAGUCAGAGUACAUUAGACAUGAGCUAGAAUGCUGCUUAUCAUUCUCGAACGAAGCCCAUUAAUGUAAGAUACCAUUGGCUAUGACAAGUAGUAGCGAAACAAUUGAUAUAGUUACCGAAGAUUCAUACCGAAAAGAACCCAACUGAUACGAUGACAAAGGCUGUGAUUAGAGAGAAGCUUGAGCUUCGUGCUGAACGGGCUGACAUGAACUCUAACUAAUUUGUUAGAGGAUAAUCUCUUUCCUUGAUGGGUUGGACAGAGAG